Molecule: long non-coding RNA, 263 nt
Organism: Labrus mixtus (cuckoo wrasse)
Lineage: Eukaryota; Metazoa; Chordata; Actinopteri; Labriformes; Labridae
Exons: 3
Source: RefSeq, a predicted model, not a curated record
GGGGGGGUGGCACUUUUUAAAAGACUGAAAAACAGACGAGCCCCCCAAAAUUAUUCUCUGAAAAGAGCACGGGUACACUUUUGUUCAAAACGACACGUUGUGUAGGUGUGUGUCAGGUGUGUAUCAGGUGUGUGUAGGUGUGUAUUUGUGUCCUGUGUUUAUCUUGUGUUGACACUGAACGAGAUAAAUACUCUUAGAAUGUAGAAGUGUGUUGAAAUGUACCGAGUCACCACAGUGACCUUUAAGAAUAAAGCUCUCUUUUA